AAUGGCACCACCUACCUCCUUGACUUCGGAUGAAAAACUGUUGGAAAUCUGGGGACUGACAGAGAAUUGACAAACCUCAACGAAAGUGCAUACCACCAAUGGCAACCGCCACCAAUAGAAUCAAGGAUUUCACUGGCCCGCCACUCAUCACAUUCCAGUUUACGCACAUCAGCAACGAAUGCGUAUGGGGCAGGGAGGUCACGAACUACCUCCUUGACUUCGGAUGAACAACUGUGGGACCACUGUGGGGACUGACAGUGACAAAGGAUGGGCAAGCCUCUCCCAACAAGAGUGCAUACCAACGGCUACCGUUACCGCUAGAAUCAAGUGCAAGUUAAACUGAGAUCGUAGACACUGAGGGGAUUGUAGGCAAAAGUUAAGAACUCGUUUACAAAUGGGCGGAGGUGGUGACUUGU
Daphnia pulicaria is the source of this 416-nucleotide long non-coding RNA. RefSeq lists it as uncharacterized. The record is from RefSeq and is a predicted model, not a curated record. Lineage: Eukaryota; Metazoa; Arthropoda; Branchiopoda; Diplostraca; Daphniidae. The transcript has 4 exons.